This is a long non-coding RNA of Ruditapes philippinarum (Manila clam), 1087 nucleotides long. RefSeq lists it as uncharacterized. The record is from RefSeq and is a predicted model, not a curated record. The transcript is spliced from 3 exons. NCBI's taxonomy places the organism in Eukaryota, Metazoa, Mollusca, Bivalvia, Venerida, Veneridae.
UAUUUGUAGACAUACAUUUAGAUUACUCUGCCACUUAGUUUAUGUGUACAAUAAACACAUAAAUUAUAUAAUAAUUAUUGCCCAUUAUAUAUAUGCAAAAUUUGUUAAAUAUAAUAACCAGCUUGCCUGAUAAUUUCUUUAAGUCAGGAUAAAUAAAUACUGCAAACAGCAGAAUAUAACACACAGAUCAGAUAAGACUAAUGAUUACCAUCUGCCCUUCCUUCUAUCUAUGCAUGACUAAUCUGACCUCAUGGGGCAUUCUGGGAUACUGACCGGACUGUUCCAUGUGAUUGUGGUUAUUAAGGGAAUCUGAGCAUGAUACAUUUGUAAAAAAUCAGUUUAGAAGGACAUUGAAACUUUGAUUUUUUACACACUUAUUAUUAUUUUCAAAUUCUACAUUUAUUUAUCAUUUGAUAUGUUUAUACAUUCAAUAAAUGUAAAAAUAUAAUGAUGGGUGUUAUGAUUUUUUUUUUGAUAAUCCCUGUUUCACAUUAUGAUAGACCUGUCCAGACUGAAACCGUUGCAAAAUUUGAAAUCUCAGACAUUCAGUGCUAACCAUAAAGGAUCUAAGUGGCAUUUUAGCUAUUUUGGAGAUAUCAUCUUGUUUUUGAAUGUUGUGUACAUUAUUGUGGAAUUUCAAAGAAAACAUUUAUCUAAAUGUGACAAGAUUGUGGAAUUGUUUGGUUGUUGUAAAAUGAACUAAGAAUGACCUGAGACAGGAAGUUAUGCAAGAAUCAUAGUAAACAGUUUCAGGAACAGCUGUAUGGAUAUGUAAAGUACAGUGAUGACUUCUCAAAAGCCAUCAAGCUCCUGUUCAGAAAACUUUAUAGUGUUGAAGAAUACAGGGGCAGGUGUUUUACUGGCAACAGUACCAACACUAAAACCAAAAGCAAUUAAGGCCAGCAUUGGAGGACACAAUAUUACUGAAAGUCUUUCAUGAGUUGAUCAAGAGAAAAUGGCCAUAAUAAUGUGACUUUUGAAGCUGUCCAGAAAUUGACAUUGACAUUGAUGUUACCAAGAGGAAUAAAAAUUGUUUUAAUAGUUAUAAUAUUUUAUGUUUUGUAUUCUACCAGUGCUACAUAUAGUG